GGUGAGAGGUCAGUAGAUCGCUGGUCGGCAGGGGCGACAAUGGCGGGGCUCUGGGUGGGGAUGGCGGGGUUGGUGGCGGCCGGACGGCGUGGGCGGCGAUGGCCGCAGCCGCUGAUGCGGAGCGUAUCGCUGUGGAGCCUGAAGCAUGUUGCACUCUACUCAAGACAGCACUUAAUGGUGUCCCGUAGUCUCUGUUCAGCAGGAUAUGAUUCUAAUGAAAAAACUUUUGAUAAAAUUCUUGUUGCUAAUAGAGGAGAAAUUGCAUGUAGGGUUAUUAAAACUUGCAAGAAGAUGGGCAUUAAGACGGUUGCUAUCCACAGUGAUGCUGAUGCUAGUUCUGUUCAUGUGAAAAUGGCGGAUGAGGCUGUCUGUGUUGGCCCAGCUCCCACCAGUAAAAGCUACCUCAACAUGGAUGCCAUCAUGGAAGCCAUUAAGAAAACCAGCGCCCAAGCUGUACAUCCAGGUUAUGGAUUCCUUUCAGAAAACAAAGAAUUUGCCAAAUGUCUGGCAGCAGAAGGUGUCAUUUUCAUUGGACCUGACACGCAUGCUAUUCAAGCCAUGGGUGACAAGAUUGAAAGCAAAUUAUUAGCGAAGAAAGCAAAGGUUAACACAAUCCCUGGGUUUGAUGGAGUAGUCAAGGAUGCAGAUGAAGCUGUCAGAAUUGCAAGGGAAAUUGGCUACCCUGUCAUGAUCAAGGCCUCAGCAGGUGGUGGUGGGAAAGGCAUGCGAAUCGCCUGGGAUGAUGAAGAGACCAGGGAUGGUUUCAGAUUUUCAUCUCAAGAAGCUGCUUCUAGUUUUGGUGAUGAUAGACUACUAAUAGAAAAAUUUAUUGAUAACCCUCGUCACAUAGAAAUCCAGGUUUUAGGUGACAAGCAUGGGAAUGCUGUGUGGCUCAAUGAAAGAGAGUGCUCAAUUCAGCGAAGAAACCAGAAAGUGGUGGAGGAAGCACCAAGCAUUUUUCUGGAUUCAAAAACUCGAAGAGCAAUGGGAGAACAAGCUGUAGCUCUUGCCAAAGCAGUGAAGUAUUCCUCUGCUGGAACCGUGGAAUUCCUUGUGGACUCAAAGAAGAAUUUUUAUUUCUUAGAAAUGAAUACAAGACUCCAGGUUGAGCAUCCCGUCACAGAAUGCAUUACUGGCCUGGACCUAGUCCAAGAAAUGAUCCGUGUUGCCAAGGGUUACCCUCUUAGGCACAAACAAGCUGAUAUUCCCAUCAACGGCUGGGCAGUUGAAUGUCGGGUUUAUGCUGAGGACCCCUACAAGUCUUUUGGUUUACCGUCCAUUGGGAGAUUGUCUCAGUACCAAGAACCAAUACAUCUACCUGGUGUCCGGGUUGACAGCGGCAUCCAACCAGGAAGUGAUAUUAGCAUUUAUUAUGAUCCAAUGAUUUCAAAACUGAUCACAUAUGGUUCUGAUAGAACUGAAGCACUGAAGAGAAUGGAAGAUGCACUGGAUAAUUACAUUAUUCGAGGUGUUACACAUAAUAUCGCAUUACUCCGAGAGGUGAUAAUCAACUCACGCUUUAUAGAGGGAGACAUCAACACUAAAUUUCUUUCUGAUGUUUAUCCUGAUGGCUUUAAAGGACACAAGUUAACAGAGAAUGAGAGAAACCAAUUAUUGGCCAUAGCAUCAUCAUUGUUCGUGGCAUUCCAAUUAAGAGCACAACGUUUUCAAGAACAUGAAACUUCAAGAGUGCCUAUUAUUAAACCACAAAUGGCUAACUGGGAGCUCUCAGUAAAAUUGCAUGAUGAAGUUCAUACUGUCAUAGCAUCAAACAGUGGGCCAACAUUCCAUGUGGAAGUUGAUGGCUCGAAACUAAAUGUGACCAGCACGUGGAACCUGGCUUCACCGUUAUUGUCUGUCAACGUUGAUGGCACUCAGAGGACGAUACAGUGUCUUUCUAGAGAAGCAGGUGGAAACAUGAGCAUUCAGUUUCUUGGUACAGUGUAUCAGGUGCAUGUCUUAACCAAACUGGCUGCAGAACUGAACAAAUUUAUGCUGGAGAAAGUGGCCGAGGACACAAGCAGUAUCCUGCGCUCCCCAAUGCCCGGCAUGGUGGUGGCAGUGUCUGUCAAGCCUGGAGACAUGGUAGCAGAAGGUCAGGAAAUUUGUGUGAUUGAAGCCAUGAAAAUGCAGAACAGUAUGACAGCUGGGAAAACUGGCAAGGUGAAAUCAGUGCAUUGUAAAGCUGGAGACACAGUUGGAGAAGGAGAUCUGCUUGUGGAACUGGAGUGAAUCUGCUUACCUACUUCUUCCUGGUUGAGGACCUAGCUCCCAUUUGUGGCUAUUCUUGAACUUCCGAAAGCCUGAGCGGGCCGGCCGCCAGGGAGUUUGGAAAUCCCCCCUGCGCAGCUCUCACGGAUGCAGUUAGUGAUCAGUCUGCCACGAAGCUGAAGAGCGAGGGGCUCUCCCGGCGGAGCGCGAGGUUACUGAGCAGCAGCAGCUGCGCUUCCAGUGGCUUCUGAAACUCCUGGAAUACAUUUCACACUUUGCUGAGACAACCAGCGAGAGAGGGAACACAAGCAGGGGGAGCAGGAGAGGAAGAAGCAGGCUCCUAGCAGAAGAGCGUGAUGUGGGGCUCGAUCCCAGAAUGCUGGGAUCACGCCCUGAGCCAAAGGCAGACGCUUAACGACUGCGCCACCCAGGUGCCCCAUAGAAUGAAAAGAACCUUCUAUCAGAUUAGUAGAGGCCCCCCCAAAAAAGCCAACAAUAGUACCAACACUUUUAAAUUUGGUUUCCCAAAACAUCCAGUUUAAUAUUACAUGAACAUCUUUAGUAAUCCCUCUUUAAUAAGCUUGAUCUGAAAAUUGCAAAUAGUAAUGUUUUCUUUGCUCUAAAAGUCCACCAAACACACACCGCAUGUUUUUCUUGAGAUUCUUUUAUUACAGAGAGAUAACCCAAAUCAGUUUAAAAAAGUCUUCUUGCUGCUGCAAGUUAUAAUCUAUACAGUAAGGCGGCUAAAGUUGAGCUGUUACAGAGUCUACGUUUUAAAUGUUAUCUUCAGAUCAAAGCAAAGCAAAAAAAAAAAAAA
Molecule: RNA transcript, 3028 nt
Organism: Ailuropoda melanoleuca (giant panda)
Lineage: Eukaryota; Metazoa; Chordata; Mammalia; Carnivora; Ursidae
Gene: PCCA
Gene name: propionyl-CoA carboxylase subunit alpha
Exons: 27
Source: RefSeq, a predicted model, not a curated record